UACAGAGGGUGCAAGCGUUAAUCGGAAUUACUGGGCGUAAAGCGCGCGUAGGCGGCUGCUUAAGUCGGGUGUGAAAGCCCCGGGCUCAACCUGGGAACUGCAUUCGAUACUGGGCGGCUAGAGUAUGAGAGAGGGAGGUAGAAUUCCACGUGUAGCGGUGAAAUGCGUAGAUAUGUGGAGGAAUACCGGUGGCGAAGGCGGCCUCCUGGCUCAAUACUGACGCUGAGGUGCGAAAGCGUGGGGAGCAAAC
RNAcentral lists this ribosomal RNA (250 nucleotides) under uncultured bacterium. RNAcentral describes it as "partial 16S ribosomal RNA". It matches the Rfam family "Bacterial small subunit ribosomal RNA", at positions 524 to 773 of the family's 1533-position model. The record is from RNAcentral.